UACGUAGGUGGCAAGCGUUGUCCGGAAUUACUGGGUGUAAAGGGAGCGCAGGCGGGAAGCCAAGUCAGCUGUGAAAACUGCGGGCUUAACUUGUAGACUGCAGUUGAAACUGGUUUUCUUGAGUGAAGUAGAGGUUGGCGGAAUUCCGAGUGUAGCGGUGAAAUGCGUAGAUAUUCGGAGGAACACCGGUGGCGAAGGCGGCCAACUGGGCUUUAACUGACGCUGAGGCUCGAAAGUGUGGGGAGCAAACAGG
RNAcentral lists this ribosomal RNA (253 nucleotides) under uncultured bacterium. Its description in RNAcentral is "partial 16S ribosomal RNA". It matches the Rfam family "Bacterial small subunit ribosomal RNA", at positions 524 to 776 of the family's 1533-position model. The record is from RNAcentral.